AUAAGCUUAGUUAAUUUAUAACAUUAAAUUGUCAAUUUAAAAUUAUUUUUUUUUUAAAAAAUAGCUUUUA
RNAcentral lists this transfer RNA (70 nucleotides) under Erotylidae sp. BMNH 1274780. Its description in RNAcentral is "tRNA-Asp". The record is from RNAcentral. Lineage: Eukaryota; Metazoa; Arthropoda; Insecta; Coleoptera; Erotylidae.